AGAAUGAAAAAGCUGUUUUGGGAAGACGUUCCAAACCCCAAGAAUUGUUCCUGGGCACAAGGACUUAAUUUCCAAAAGAGAACGGACAUUCUUUGAAGUCUCUCAUGACCACCACAGAUGAACCCAAUGUACCAACUUCCCAGCAGUCCAUAGAGUAUUAGAAGAUGUUUACAUUUUGAAAGAGGGAAACAAACCCAAACUAUUGUUUGAAUUACUAAGAACUAACAUAUGAUGAACUUAAUAGAGACAUGUACGUUUGUGGCCACUAUGUGGGUUUGAUGUAGUUCAUUUGGGGUAUAUGCUUAAUUAUCAGAACACCUAAAGUUUGAUAUUAAUAAUCAUGGUCUCUGCUUUCAAAUUUUUAUUUUUCUGGUCAUAAAAUGUUAAUGGUGUGACUGUUGUGGUCGGAACAUAUUCUGUUUCCAAAUGUGGUAGAAAUGUAGUCAAGAUUGCUGGAACUAGGGAGCUCGAACAGGUAACUUCUGACAUCCAGCUUUGCAAAGACCCCCCGCCCCCGGCCGCCCCCCCCCCACACACACACUACAGGGAAGGUAUUUAGCUUCUAUUUCUAUGUGUGAAAGCUUCUCUACUAGAUUUUUUUGGACACUUAUAAAUUCAUGAAUUUCAGAUUCUUCUGAAUAACAUGGCUUUUGUGUACCAAACUUGGAAUAAUCUAGGAAUUUUAGUUUUCUAUAGUCUUGAACAUGACUUAAGUUCUAACUCUUAUUUUAGUUUAAAGAAAGCCAGAAGUUGUGGCUUGUGGUGAUCACACACCAAUGGAAGCUGUGUUUCAUAUGAGGAUAACCCCAUAUAGACCACACAUUAAUGGAAGCUGUGUUUCAUAUGAGGAUAACCCCACAUAGACCACACAUUAAUGGAAGCUGUGUUUCAUAUGAGGAUAACCCCACAUAGACCAGUGGAAGCUAUCCUUCAUUUCAGGAUAACCCUACACACGCAGGUCAAAUUGCCCAGAGCAGAAGAGAGUAACAACCUCCAUGAAUCAAUUUAUUUCCACUGAAUCAGCCGAAGACUUCUGGCAGACAGGGAGGUGUGCAAGAACGGGAGACUUUCUGGGAUUUUAAAAAUAGGUCCUGGUAAAGACAGGGCUUUUCUCCCUGAAAAACAGAUGUCUUGCCAUAUCUGUUAAUAUAUAGUAUAGACUUUAUUGCUUACAUUCAAACUAAACCAAAUCGAUGGACACAAAUAACAUUCAAAUUUAAGAUAUGUGGGUCACUUAGAUGUGAUUGGUAAUUUUAUUUGGAAAUCUAAAGAAAGUUAAGACACUAGGAGGGUUGUACCCCCUUUCCUUCCUUUAAUAUUAAUAGACAUCAUUGUACUAUAAAUGUCUAGCUGCAAACUUGUGAAAGGUUGUUUUUCAAUUCUUAUAUCCACAGAGUGAAAUAAAUUUUGAACAAACAUACUUUGAAGAAGUUCUGUGACCAUUGAUAAUAUAUAGUUCAGUAAUGUGUUGUUUAAAAGCAUUUAUUAUUUAAACUUUCUACAUGGAUGCUUUUUAAGAUGCCCAUGACUUGUUCCACAAUUAGCUGUACAUUAAGAAGGUUUAGGCCCGGGGCUGGAGAAAUGGCUCAGUGGUUAAGAGCACUGACUGCUCUUCCAGAGGACCCGGGUUCAAUUCCCAGCACCCACAUGGCAGCUCACAACUGUCUGAAGAUCCAGUUGCAGGGGAUCUGACACCUUCACACUAAUGCACAUAAAAUAAAGUUAAAUAAACCAUCAAAAAUAUUUUUUAAAAAAAGAAGGUUUAGGCCCCAUGGAGGAGAUGGAACAGAUCAUUUGAAAAACACACAUGAACUCAACUGCAUGCUGUAUGUUGUUUCUAUUUUUCCAUAUUGGUAGAAAGAAGCAAAAUGAAAGGAUCGGAUGUCAAGCUCAUUUAAACUUUUUAAAAAAUUCAGCAAUAUAUGUAGUAGAAAUAUUAAGGGGAAAAUUAGAAUGUUUGGAGGAAGUCACAAAUGUACAGAUUCCUGUCAGAAACAGUGUGGGAGUAGGAUCCAUUUUCUUCUCACUCACAGCAUUUUUAGCAGUGUUUGUCAAUCAGUAUUUUAACACUGACAUAGGUCUAUGCCAUUACAAUAGUUAGUGUUCAGUAUAUUUAUUCCUCUACUGUUUAAUCACUAAUAUAUUUCAGCUAAGAGUUUGCAACUGCUGUGUUUUUAUAUGGGAUAUGCUUGCCAUUGUGAAGAACAUUUGAGUAUACUGCUAUCUCAGGCCAUAACUCAGAAUUCAUUUUAUUAGCUUAAAAAACUAUAACAUUCAGAAGCUAAAUCACACGUAUGAUCUAUGAACUGAACGUACUUUCUACUUAGAUGUGUUAUCCAUUCAGUGUGAUAUAUUUGCAGUAUUUUUAUUUGAAUUCUAUGUUUUAAGUUUACAUUGUUUGUACUGAGCUUUUUGCAUGCAGAUUUUUGAUUUGUAGCUGCUUGACAGGAUUUCAUUGUUAUGUAACCCUUGUUCUUAUAAAAAGAAAACAUGCUGUA
Microtus oregoni (creeping vole) is the source of this 2498-nucleotide long non-coding RNA. RefSeq lists it as uncharacterized. NCBI's taxonomy places the organism in Eukaryota, Metazoa, Chordata, Mammalia, Rodentia, Cricetidae. The transcript is spliced from 2 exons. The record is from RefSeq and is a predicted model, not a curated record.